RNAcentral lists this ribosomal RNA (292 nucleotides) under uncultured bacterium. Its description in RNAcentral is "partial 16S ribosomal RNA". It matches the Rfam family "Bacterial small subunit ribosomal RNA", at positions 505 to 796 of the family's 1533-position model. The record is from RNAcentral.
GUGCCAGCCGCCGCGGUAAUACGUAGGGGGCAAGCGUUGUCCGGAUUUAUUGGGCGUAAAGAGCGUGUAGGCGGCCAAACAGGUCCACUGUGAAAACUCGAGGCUCAACCUCGAGAGGUCGGUGGAAACCGUAUGGCUAGAGUCCGGAAGAGGAGUGUGGAAUUCCUGGUGUAGCGGUGAAAUACGCAGAUAUCAGGAGGAACACCAAUGGCGAAGGCAGCACUCUGGGACGGUACUGACGCCGAGACGCGAAAGCGUGGGGAGCGAACAGGAUUAGAUACCCCAGUAGUCA